Molecule: ribosomal RNA, 507 nt
Filed under: uncultured bacterium
Lineage: Bacteria
Description: bacterial SSU rRNA
Rfam family: Bacterial small subunit ribosomal RNA
Source: RNAcentral
GAUCAUGGCUCAGAUUGAACGCUGGCGGCAGGCCUAACACAGUGCAAAGGUCGAACGGUAACGAGGAAGAAGCUUGCUUCUUUGCUGACGAGCGGCGGACGGGUGAGUAAUGUCUGGGAAACUGCCUGAUGAGGGGGAUAACUACUGGAAACGGUAGCUAAUACCGCAUAACGUCGCAAGACCAAAGAGGGGGACCUUCGGGCCUCUUGCCAUCGGAUGUGCCCAGAUGGGAUUAGCUAGUAGGUGGGGUAACGGCUCACCUAGGCGACGAUCCCUAGCUGGUCUGAGAGGAUGACCAGCCACACUGGAACUGAGACACGGUCCAGACUCCUACGGGAGGCAGCAGUGGGGAAUAUUGCACAAUGGGCGCAAGCCUGAUGCAGCCAUGCCCGCGUGUAUGAAGAAGGCCUUCGGGUUGUAAAGUACUUUCAGCGGGGAGGAAGGGAGUAAAGUUAAUACCUUUGCUCAUUGACGUUACCCGCAGAAGAAGCACCGGCUAACUCCGUG